Molecule: unclassified non-coding RNA, 308 nt
Filed under: air metagenome
Description: partial contains small subunit ribosomal RNA, internal transcribed spacer 1, and 5.8S ribosomal RNA
Rfam family: Eukaryotic small subunit ribosomal RNA (bases 1-46)
Source: RNAcentral
AAGUCGUAACAAGGUUUCCGUAGGUGAACCUGCGGAAGGAUCAUUAUUGAAUAAACUUGACGUGGUUGAGCUGACUCUCUCGGGAGUAUGUGCUCGCUCGUCAUCUUUGUCUUUCCACCUGUGCACUUUUUGUAGAUUUGGAUGUAACUGUCCGAGGCAACUCGGUUGGGAGGAAUGCUAUCUCUGAUGGCUUUCCUUGUAUGUCCAAGUCUAUGUUUUCAUAUACUCCAAGUAUGUAACAGAAUGUAUCAUUGGGCCUUGUGCCUAUAAACUAUAUACAACUUUCAGCAACGGAUCUCUUGGCUCUC